GACGAACGCUGGCGGCGUGCUUAACACAUGCAAGUCGAGCGGUAAGGCCCUUUCGGGGGGUACACGAGCGGCGAACGGGUGAGUAACACGUGGGUGACCUGCCCUCAGCUCUGGGAUAAGCCUGGGAAACCGGGUCUAAUACUGGAUAUGACUCCAUGACGCAUGUUGUGGGGUGGAAAGCCUUGUGCGGCUGAGGAUGGGCCCGCGGCCUAUCAGCUUGCUGGUGGGGUGAUGGCCUACCAAGGCGACGACGGGUAGCCGGCCUGAGAGGGCGACCGGGCCACACUGGGACUGAGACACGGCCCAGACUCCUACGGGAGGGCAGCAGUGGGGGAAUCUUGCGCAAUGGGCGAAAGCCUGACGCAGCGACGCCGCGUGAGGGAUGACGGCC
This 391-nucleotide ribosomal RNA is filed under the name uncultured bacterium. Its description in RNAcentral is "bacterial SSU rRNA". It matches the Rfam family "Bacterial small subunit ribosomal RNA", at positions 28 to 416 of the family's 1533-position model. The record is from RNAcentral.